RNAcentral lists this ribosomal RNA (855 nucleotides) under Clavariadelphus sp. Its description in RNAcentral is "eukaryotic LSU rRNA". The stretch from base 604 to 855 matches the Rfam family "Eukaryotic large subunit ribosomal RNA", at positions 1 to 246 of the family's 3401-position model. The record is from RNAcentral. Lineage: Eukaryota; Fungi; Basidiomycota; Agaricomycetes; Gomphales; Clavariadelphaceae.
AGUCGUAACAAGGUUUCCGUAGGUGAACCUGCGGAAGGAUCAUUACAGUAUUGUUUAGGGGGGACUGCUGCUGGCUCCUAGGAGCAUGUGCGCGUCUUCCUUUCUAAUAUUCACACCUGUGCACCUAUGGAUGUGGUCCUAUUAUAUAUUAGGACCUUGUCCAUUAUCAUACAUAUAAAGCCUGUCUCUAAUGCAUGUAUUGACGUUCUAAGGAGCGGAUAUAUAAAUACAACUUUCAACAACGGAUCUCUUGGCUUUCGCAUCGAUGAAGAACGCCGCGAAAGUGCGAAACGUAAUGUGAAUUGCAGAAUUCAGUGAAUCAUCGAAUCUUUGAACGCAUCUUGCGCUCCUUGGUAUUCCGAGGAGCAUGCCUGUUUGAGUGUCGCGACCCUCCUCAAUCCCUUCUCCCUCUUCUGUGGGGGUUUUGGGAUUGGACUUUGGACGUCUGCUGUGGGGAACUAGUCCUCUCCUAUCGGCUCGUCUUGAAAUGUAUUAGCUGUGAAACUUGUCGUUAGAACGGUGUGAUAAGAAUACAUUUUUCUGUAGCGUCGUCUCUAAUCAAGGGCACUGCUUCUAAUCGUCCUUUGGACAAUUCAUGUCAUCUGACCUCAAAUCAGGUAGGACUACCCGCUGAACUUAAGCAUAUCAAUAAGCGGAGGAAAAGAAACUAACAAGGAUUCCCCUAGUAACGGCGAGUGAAGCGGGAAGAGCUCAAAUUUGUAAUCUGGCGGCCUCUGGCCGUCCGAGUUGUAGUCUGGAGAAGUGUUUUCUGUGCCGGACCGUGUACAAGUCCCUUGGAACAGGGCGUCAUAGAGGGUGAGAAUCCCGUCUCUGACACGGACUACCGGUGCUUUG